CCAAUAGCGUAUAUUAAAGUUGUUGCAGUUAAAAAGCUCGUAGUUGAAUUUCGAGAUCAAAUUGUUGGUCGUGCCUUGGUACGCACUGGCAUUAUUGGUUUCUCCCUUCUGACGAACCAUGAUGUCAUUAAUUUGGUGUCAUGGGAAAUCAGGACUGUUACUUUGAAAAAAUUAGAGUGUUUAAAGCAGGCUCGCGCUUG
Molecule: ribosomal RNA, 200 nt
Filed under: uncultured Glomus
Lineage: Eukaryota; Fungi; Glomeromycota; Glomeromycetes; Glomerales; Glomeraceae
Description: partial small subunit ribosomal RNA
Rfam family: Eukaryotic small subunit ribosomal RNA
Source: RNAcentral